CUUCACCGAGCCGAGCAGCAACGGCUCGUCCCGCUCCUGCCCGUACGUGGCCAGCAACGCCUGCGCCUC
This 69-nucleotide antisense RNA is filed under the name Micromonospora sagamiensis. Its description in RNAcentral is "ASpks TB sRNA". It matches the Rfam family "ASpks TB sRNA". Lineage: Bacteria; Bacillati; Actinomycetota; Actinomycetes; Micromonosporales; Micromonosporaceae. The record is from RNAcentral.